Thunnus maccoyii (southern bluefin tuna) is the source of this 1029-nucleotide non-coding RNA. The record is from the annotation of a RefSeq genome assembly. Lineage: Eukaryota; Metazoa; Chordata; Actinopteri; Scombriformes; Scombridae.
UACACUGUUGGAACAACUGCUACCAACUCAAUUUAUCUCCUGUACUGUACAUCUCUCUCUCCUGUACUGUAGGGGGACCUUGAGCACCACAAACACUUCCAGUUACACUCUGAUGUGGAGUUUGAUACAGCAGUUCACAGGACAUCACACUGCAGAGACACUCCCACCUGCAACUCUUUAUAUCUCUGCUGUAACGUCACACUUCUCAUCACACAGACUGACGGUGACUCUGGUCUCUAAGUUCAUUUUGCUCAGAACACAAUAAUGAUCACAGCUGGUCUGAUUAAACUCUCUGCAGCUCUGCUCUGUAUUGUAGGUCUAAUUAAUGGGAGUGAUGUCACCCAGACCCCUCUGCUGUGGAGCAAAGAGGGUCAGUCUGCCACAAUGAACUGCAGUCACACUAAGACUGCUAAUUUUAACCAGAUGUACUGGUACAGACAGCUGCCAGGAGAAACAAUGAAACUCAUUGUGUUCACUGUUCCAAACAGUAAACCUGACUUUGAACCAGACUUCAAAAAUGAGAGAUUCUCAGCUACUAAGCCUGACGCUGCCAGUGGGACAUUCACAGUGAAGAAUCUGGAACCAGGAGAUAAAGGCUUGUAUUUCUGUGCUGUGAGUCAACACAGUGAUACAGAUGCACUUGACAGCUGAACAAAAACCUCAGCAAGCUGUUACCAACUGUAUUUAUCUGCUGUACUGUAGGAGGACCUCAAGUACAACACACAACAACUCACAAUAAAGCCACACUCCCACCUGUAACUUACAACACAGAAAUAAACUCUGUUGUAACGUCACACCUUCCAUCACACAGACUGAGUGUCUCUCAUUUUCAUUUUACUCAGAACACAAUAAUGAUCCCAGCUGGUCUGAUCAAACUCUCUGCAGCUCUGCUCUGUAUUGUAGGUACUGUACAUCAUGAGGCCAAGGAUUGAAAGGAGAAGCUGUCACUUUAGCUUUAAAGACAUAAUGAUGAUUUUAUGUUCUGACUGCAUACAGAGGACUCACUGGUGGUUCUGUAACACUUUUUUU